Molecule: long non-coding RNA, 1476 nt
Filed under: Heterocephalus glaber (naked mole-rat)
Lineage: Eukaryota; Metazoa; Chordata; Mammalia; Rodentia; Bathyergidae
Description: lncRNA (ENSHGLG00000039252.1)
Source: RNAcentral
CUCCCGCCCGCCUUCGCGCGGUCCUAGAACCUGCGCGCCCGCAGAGAGAGUCCCGGAGCCGUAAGGCUAAAUGCGCUGCCGGGCGUGGCUGGGCCUUGAGUAAAUGCUGGAGGGAGCUAACCCGCCUCUCCCUACCGCUGGCGAGGAGACAGCUAUCUCCCCUUGCCGAAACAAUUCAGAGGCGACGCUGUGGAUAAUUCUGGAUGGGGUCUUUAUCAGACUCUCAAUCCACCGGAAAUGGAGAGGACAGAGGAACAUGUUAAAACACAGUGGAGUAAGAAUCAGCAGAAUCCAAAAUGGUCUUGCUAUGUAAUCCAGGUUAGUCUUGAACUCACUAUGUAGCCCAGGCUGGCCUUGAACUCAUAGUCAUCUUCCUGCCUCAGCCUCUUGAGUGCUGGGAUCACAGGUUCUUCAAUUUCUCUGCUUCCUGAAUGCCAUGAAGUGAGCAACUUUUCCUCCAGCAUAACUCUUUGCCAUGACAUUCUGCCUGGAGCCAGCAGACCACGGACUGAAAGAUGAGCUAAAAUAAACCUCUCCUCCUUUAAGUUGUCAGGUAUUUUGUCCCAGCAAUGAAUAAAGUAACUAAGAUAGGCAACACAGUGGUUUAUGCAUUCAAAAGAGCAGUUUCAGUAGCACGACUGGGGGAAAAGUACGAAUAAAUAGAAAACAGAACGGGAGCUGAGAGGUGACUAUUUUUAGGUCAAACCAUCUGACAACUGCUGAUUGCACAGUUUUGUUUUGAGGUGCUGGAGGCUGAACCUUAGGCUUCACUCACGCUAGGCAGGUGGUUUACUACUGAGCUACAUCUCUGGUCCCUGAACAUUUCUGAUGUACAAAACCAGUACUUUCAUGAUUUUUAAGUAAAAGUUUGAUGGAAUAAAAAUGAAAGUCUGGAACAGGAGUUAGAAAGGAGUAUGAGAUUAAACAGAACCAUGAAGGUGGCACAUUUUAGGUGGAAAGAGAGCAUCUUUCUACCCUGAUAAAAAUGAGGUAGCCAUCAGCUGAAAGAAAGGUGGGAAGACAUGACCAUUUUUCUAAACUUGUUUUUCAUUCUCUUGUAUUUCUUGAAUACUUUCGUUACAUGUACAGUGGACCCUCAAGUUACAACUGACAUACGAACAACUUGGGUUAAUCAGGUUAAUGGAAGAUUCAUCUGCCUCUUGUUAUCUAUAGCAUGUACCCAGGUAAACAUCCAGAUCUCAGCUGUAUUGACUUACAAUCAACCAGGCCUUGAACGGAUUGAGUUCAUAGGUCCACGGUAUAUCUAAGCAAUGUACAGUAUUGUUCUACAGCUUUUAAACUGUAUUGUCAUACUAUGUAUUUCUUCUACAUCGUCCUCCUUUGCCUCAACCUGUUUGAGUUCAGUCGUUUUGCUAGCAUAUAUUUACUUCAUCCUGUUUAUAAUGCAUAAUGUAUUCUUACAGAAGAACGUUUCUAACUUUUUGCUUCUACCCACAGUGCUAUUAUGUAUAUCCU